This 301-nucleotide unclassified non-coding RNA is filed under the name Funneliformis mosseae. RNAcentral's name for it is "partial contains 5.8S ribosomal RNA and internal transcribed spacer 2". The stretch from base 1 to 71 matches the Rfam family "5.8S ribosomal RNA", at positions 84 to 154 of the family's 154-position model. Lineage: Eukaryota; Fungi; Glomeromycota; Glomeromycetes; Glomerales; Glomeraceae. The record is from RNAcentral.
GUGAAUCAUCGAAUUUUUGAACGCAAAUUGCACUCCCUGGUAUUCCGGGGAGUAUGCAUGUUGGAGGGGCGGUAGAAUAAAAAAUCGAGGCGUCGCUCUGUUUAGGAGGGUGAUAGCGUCGGAAUUGAGCCGUCUUUCAAAUGUUAAUUCAUGUCAAAGUGGCUUAAAAUUCAUACAUCCGGUACGAUUAAAACGUAUUGAAGAGAAAUUUUGUUCAAGAACGAGCGAUGACGUACCAUCUCAUGUAGUACGUUUGACCUGGGUCAUCAGGAUCAGUCGUAUACUAUACUCGAAAUUUUGA